AUCAAAGCUCCUCACCUCUGCAAAAAGUACUCUCUUCAUUGUCUUCACCAAGAAAAUUCCCAUGCAUAAGCAGGCACAUGGCAUCAAAAUGUAGUAAGAGUAUCCAGAUAAGAUCUUUCCAAGGACAGCAAAACACAUGCCUGUGAAGGUAUACCCAGCAUAUGCAACAAUGUCUAACAAGGGCGCCUCCCCGCUACCCAAUGAAAGGAGUAUCAUUUUGAGCAAUGCAACCUGCAUAAACCAGCCGAGCAAUCCCUUGACAAACAGCCAAUUGAGAGCUUCUGGGCUAAAUCUGGAAUCAAAUGGAAUUAAACUUCAGAGCUUAGAGCAUGAAAUUAAUUUCCAAAUUAAAGAUAAAGAAAGUUGAAGUUCAAUGAUGUGAUCCAAUUCCAGAUAUUUUUUGGCUGGUUUGGACAAAGCAUCCUGUCCAGACCAGCCACAGCCAAUUGAUAGCUUCUGGGCUAAACCUAGCAUCAAAUGGAAUUAACUUGAUCUCAGAUAAAUGAAGUUAAAGGCAAAAGAAAAUGAAAUAGAAGAUCUGGUGGAAUCAAAGAUGUAAUGCAACUAAUGGUUCAUCAGGCUGAGAAAUUACUUGCUUUAUUAAAGCUUACAGAUACAAGCACAGAUAUCCCUGGACACGCACAAAAAUUAUGGAAGAGGAAGAAAAAUAUGAAAGACAAAGAAGCUGGAGUGCAGGAUCAGGGGAUGAGAGUGAUAACAUUAAGCAACACUGUCACUCACAAUUGCCAACAUAUGAUUACUGCAACUAGGGUUAACAGAGGUGAUAUUCAUAGAUGCAUCCAACACAGAAAAGUGAUCAAGCUUGCUGGCAGCACAUGUAGUAGUUAUUAAGGUUAAGCUGGGUUGACUGGAGAAUAUAAUCUACUUACUUUCCAUUAAGUCCCAACGACAAGCCAGCAAGAACAACAUAGGUACCAAAUGCCAUGAAUGGAAUGUACAAGUCUGGUGCAUUUAUAUCAUAGAUUGGGGGUUUAUAGGAAAGCCUGCCCCCUACUGGCUCGGUUAUCCUCAUCCAAUGUCCCUGAGAAAAGCAUGGUAAGGACAAAAGUUCACGACAAUAUGAAAAAAAUGGUGUGGGCUAGAAAAAAGCAUUAGAUUAGAUAAGUUACCCUGUGCAGAAAUGGAAACAAAACAACCUUCAGUUUGUUCCUCACAUACUGGUCAUUCACUUGGAAAUAGUACUGUGGAUCAGAGAAGUAUCUACUUAUCUGUUUAUUUAAAAGAAAAUGUCAGUUAAAAUCACAUAGUUAUCAAACUAAAGUACAACAAUCUAAUCUUCCCAAGAAUGAAAUGUUGAAAUGGGAAUAGAAAAUUUUAUCUUUCUUUUCAUUGAAAAAAUUUCUAAAAUGAACCCAUAACAUUUAUGUAAAAGAGGAAUGAAUUGGUGCAAAUGCCAGCGGUUUAAAGACAUUGGCAUGAGGUUUCGAGGUGUCCAACAUAAAUCACAUCUGAACUGCAUGCUUAACCAGAACGGAAGCAUUUGGCUAACAGCAAGCUUAAACCACAAUGAUUUGACAUAAAAGCCUCAGAAUGCUACUUACAUUGCUUUGUACAUACUCAGAACUUGAGCCCAAAAUUUUCUCUCCAUAUGCACCCAGCCCACCUUUCAUAAGUCCUGAACCAGCUCCGUAGAAGGAAUUCCCAAAUGGAUUGGGCUGGGGGUUGGUUGGAGGUCUUGGCACCCCAGGCUGAGGUCCCACAUUGUUAUACAUUUCUGCACUUAGGAGCGAAAAAAAUCAGAACAAAUUUGUUUCCAUAAGAACUGCUCAUUAGCACUGAAUGUCUCUUAGCUGAGUCAAUCAAGCACUGAUUACUAAUGGAUGCUUAAAUUCUAAUUUUUUUCAGAAACCAAUUAAAUCCAUAAGGUCAUUCAAAUAAAAUAGAAGAAAAGUUUCAAGCUCAACAGGGAACAACUGAUCUCACUUAAUAUUAUUAAGAAAGAGGAUGACUUAUGCAUCCUUAAAAUGAAACUGUUAACUUGAGGCUUAUGAAGUUUCAUAUAAUACUAAAAUCAAAAUACAUUCUCCUCCAUCUACUGCAUAUUCUCAUGGUUUAAUUGGCAUAUGGACCAUCUUCCAAAUAUCUCCCCCACCCCCCGCCCCCCCCCCCCCCCCUCAAAUCACCAGAAUAUACAGGCCUGGAAAAGAUAUAACUUACAAUCUGACCACGUCCUAAGCAACCGACACGGACUCAGGAUCUCAUGUGGAGCUCAUGAAACAAAAGGCAAAAGGGAGGUUCCCAGUACAUCCAUUGUUUGUAAAAACACAGCCCCACCUCCAUCCACAGUCAAAAUCCUCACGCAUCCUAUAUUCCUAAACAUAUUCCUCUUUCUUUCUAAACAAUUAAACACCGUCACUAAACCUCCCAAAACUCUCCUGCCAAUCCAAAACACAUCAAGCACCUAGCAGCACCUUUCCUUCAACUUCCAACAAUUGACAUCAUACACCACAACUCCAAAAAAAUUAACCUACCCAAAACUGCAUGCCUACAAGACCCAUUUACCGAUCCUCUUCAGAAACCAAACUAAACUCCCUCAAUGACACAAAAUCUUAACAACCCAUUUUAAUAAAUCCCAAAAAAUUCUUAAACCCCGAAUCCCAUCAAAUUCACAGCAUAAGCACGUACCAUUCAAUCAAUCUACCUAAUCUAUUUGCAUUAAAACAUACACACAAACGCAUACAGAAAAAUACAGUUAAACAUGGAUCUAAGAAUAUGACCUGGAGCCGGAGAUUUAGGUGGUGUUUUCUGGCGAUCGUAUCUUGGGUUUACCGGUGAUGGGAUUUUAUUCUAAAAAGGAACCGAGGAAAAGAAAACUAUGUAUGCAAGUAACGGUUUGUGGAUUCUUGAGAAGGAAUGGGAAUUAUGUAAGGGUGGUGGCACGUGCUGUGCACGUGCAAAGGAGCGUUGGUUCUUUUUCUUUAUAGAUUUGACUAAUUUUCUUUGCAUCAUUGGGCCAAUUAGGGAUUGACAAGUAAAGGGUCGGAGCUCCAAAUUUAAAGGUGAGAGUUUUUUACAAUCUACUAGCUUGCCGACUGCCCUCCGCCGUAGUUGGAAAUUGGAAUCAUAUUAUUUUUUAAAAACAUAACCAAAAAAAAUAUUUAAGAAAUAUUUUAUAUUAUUAUUAAAUUUAAUUUGAUGUGUCAUUCUUAAAUCUUUUUAUUAGAAAUUUAAAAUUAAAUUAUAUAAAAAAUAUUUUAAUGUGAUUCAAAUAAUUUGGCUAGAUCAUAAAUAACUUGAAUAUCUGAUAAAAAAAGUUUAACAAUGAAAUUAAAAAAAAUUAAAUUAAAAAAAUCCCUCGACCAAACUUUUCAGUAUAGAAGUUAUUAUGACGUGACUCGAUCAACUUAGUUAUUGUUUAGUUAUUAUCUAGAAAAAAACGGAGAUAAUAAGAAUAUGUGUUUCUAUAUCUUUUGUUUUAAAAUAUAAAAAUUUAUUUAAAAACUGUUAUAGAGAAUAAUUUAUUUUAAGUUUUUAUAUCUUUAAUCAAAUAUAUUUUUGUCUUUUUUAUAUAAGUUUUUUUUUUUACCAAAAUUAUAAAACCUAAUCUGAGAGUUAAUUUAAAGCAAGGUUUAGAUCAUAAAUCGGGAGGGUAAAUUCAAGUUGAUCCGGGUUAAUCUUCUAAAUUGUUUUUAAUAAAAAAAUCUAAAAUUAUAUUGUUUUGUAAAAAAUUAAAAAAAAAUUCAAUACGUUGAUUAACUAGGUGAAUGCAAGUCAUAUACAAGUCACCUUUUUUUAUAUAUAGAUAAAUUUAUUUUUCAAAUUUAAAUUUGAAAGAGAACUAGAAAAAAAGGAGAAGAUAAAAAAAAAAAAAAGUAAAGCUAUUUUCUCCUAUGCAUAGUCUUCUCACCCGACGAAAAACACAAAGAGAACACGUGAGUCAAAACUCUCAACCUUUUCCCUCACAUUCGAUUUGUUUUCCCAUGCUCUUCUUUAUUUAAGUCAAUGACAAAGCAUACUUAGAGCUAACGGUCAGUUUCAUAAUUCAAUUCUGAUUUUUUCUAAAAUUAUUUUUUUUUAAAUAAAAAACAAUAAAAAAAUGAAAAAGAGCAACUUGGUAAGAGUUGGCUGAAAAAAAAAAUAUAAAGGAAUCAAACUAGAGUUUUGGACAAAAUUAGAAGCCCAGUUGUAUCUUAUUAUAUCUAAAACUGAAGAACAAUGCAGAUUCAAAGUCAAACAAAAUAAUUAUUAAAUGAAUCUUCAUAAAAAUUAAGUUUGAGGACUUAAUUAGACUUUUAAUAGGGCAAUUUGAUUUAAUUAUAGACCCAAUAAAGAAUUAAUUAAGUUUAAGAAUUAAUUUGGGUCAAAUUAAACAAAAUAAUUAAGUAUAAGAACUUAAUUAGACUUUUAAUGAGUCAAAUUAAUUUUAUUAAGGACUUAAUCAGUGAAACAUUAAGUUUGAAAGUCUAACUUGAGUUUAAUUGAUAAAAUUAAAAUUUUAAAAGACAGAGUUUAAUUUAUACAAGUUCGAUUGAGUGAAAAGAUGAACAAAAUUACAAGGAAAUCAAAGUUUGAAGGUUAAUUAGACGUUAAAUUGAAAAAUUUUGAAACCAAGGAUCAUUUUGUAAAAUAACAUAAAAAUUUAAGGGUCCAGUCAAAGAAAGCCAAGGGUGAAACUGCAAGGGAUUCAAAAAAUUAGUGCUGGUUGGGGGUUUCAUUACAAAAUUCUAAAAGUUUAGAAAUCAAAUUAAACAAUACCAUAAUUUCACUAUUCAUCAUCUUCUUCUCAUUUAAACAAGAGAAAAGAUGUUCAAGUGCUCUUCUUCCAGCCCUAAUUUCUUCCUCGUCUCUUCACCAAUCCACACAAAUCUUAUAAAAACUUAUGCUAAGGUAUUUGUACUUCACUCUAAACUAAAAUUCCAGCUCUUAUUACAUUAAAAAGACCAGCAAAUUCUCUCCCAAAAAAUUACCCAGCAUACUCUACCUGCAAAAAUAAUCUUGUAUUUUCCGUUGUCAAUUUCUCAACAUAAGGAUCGAUAUUCCAUUAACUCAUGAAUGACACCAACACCAGCACACCUGUGACUUCAUCUUCUCCAUUCAUUGCAGCUACAACGACAAGUCAUAGCAAUACUAGUUCAGCCGAGAGCCACGUCAACAACAGCAAAGUCUUCAAACCGUGAGCAGCCUUUGAUUCAAACUGUGUAAUGGCAGUUCAACCUUCACCUCCUCUACACUGUGAGCAACAGUACUAGAGGGUCUUUUUCAUCAGCAGUCAACUGGUCACGAUACAGAAGCUUCCUUCAAGUAGCAGUAGCAGAGUAACAACUGGUCUUUUCCUCUCCAUCAUAGCAACAACAGAGGUUUACAGUUCGGUAACUUCUCUAAGCCCUGCACAGCAAUGGAAGCAAACACAUCCUCUGUGCAGUCGUGAGCCUCCAGGUAUAACCCUUCCUUUUCUUGUUACGAUACUGCAUGUUUAGAUGGACUGUGUUCUCUUUAGUUAACAUCCUAGUUUGAAACUGGCAAAAACAUGAAUAGGAGUACCAUUUCCAUUUGGCUGGCAAAAACAUGAAUAGGAGUACCAUUUCCAUUUGGCUGGAAAAUGCAUGUUUCUGGGUAAAUAUGAAUGCUGGGGAUCAUUAUUAAUUUAUUAUAGUUUAUGUCUUCUUGUUUGAUGGGCUGGGCUUCAAUUUGAAAUAUUUGAAUUUGAUGGGCUGGGCUUCAAUUUGAAAUAUUUGAAUAAAUUUUAUGGGUGUUUUAAAUUUUAGGUUGGAUAAACUAUUGAGGUUUUUGGUCAAGGCCCGGCCUCGUGGCUAGGUUGAGCCCUUAAAUGCUGUUGUUCUGAAAUUUUAUAAUGAAAAAAUAUAUUUUUGUUUCUUAGAAUGUGUUUGAUAAACACGUCCUAACAAAUUUUUUAUAGUUAUUUUUGCUGAUUUAUUUGUGUUUUUAUCAAAUAAACCUUAAAUAAUUUCAAGACAAUUCUAAAAAAAAAUGAAAAAUCAUUUUAUAAUUUUUUAUGGUCCCUCACGUGUUUUCCAAUCUUUUUAUUUAAUAUUUGGGUUGUAAACUUACACUGUAAGAUACUGACCCGAUAUUAAAUAUACAAGUUUUUUUUCAAAAUUUUAGGGAAAAAAAAUAAAAAAGGUUCCUUAUUUUAAAAAAAUAAAAAUAUAUGUUUUUAUUUGUAUGCAUAUAGCCAAGUUUCUAAAAACAAAAUACUUGCAUAAUUUAGCAUACUAAAAAAAUCACAAAAAUAAUCUUUUUAUUUUGCAUGCAUAUUAGAUUUAAUAGCUAGUUUAUUAAAGCCAUGAGAACUUGUUCUACAUUUCAAAAAAUAUCAAAAAUCUAUUUUGUUUCUUUUAAUAUACGAGAUUAUAAACUUAUACAUAAGACGUAUUACUGAUAUUAAAUAAAAAGAUAUUUUUUUUAUUUUUACAUUUUGACUUUAGAACGAUUAAGUUUCAACCUAAUAAGAUAAGGAUCUCCUUAUUAAGAAGAACUUUUUUAAAACCUUUAGCAGAAAAAUAGUUAGAAAACACAACAAUACCUUAAUUUAUGCCAGACAAAUAAACAAUGCAACUUCCCUAAGAUAAGAUGUAUUUGUGGCGAUAUAUCUUUCUUAUACACAAUUAGUCUCUAUAUACAGACUCUAAAACCAAUUGGGGUUUCUAAUGACCAAAAUAUUAGGUGAUGGCUCCAUUUUUUUUUUACUGAUAAGAAACAAGAAUUUCUUGUUUUUUUCACCCAUCACCAUAAAGAUCCCGACUUGGGAGGACAAUCGACACGAUGCCACACACAUGCGAUAGUCAGGACAAAAGGGUAAAAUUGUAUUUGGAAGGCGAUUUGAUCAUUUCAAGGUAAAAGUGAAUAAUGAACACUUCUAGCAACAAGACAAAGGAGUAAUGAAUGAUUCACUCAAAUUGAUCAGCGAGAAAAAGAAUUUUCAGCAAGUAAAUAGAUCACGAUAGGCACUAUAAAGACUGACAUGUGUAAAAUUAAAAAUACUAUGGAAAAGACUUAUAUAGACCAGCUCGAGUGAGAUAGAAGUUAAGUGAUUAUGAGAAUUCGGAUCAGAAAUAUUAGACCUCACCAAUUAAGCAAGAAAGAGAUUGAGAAGAAAUGGGGAGCUUAUAUUUCAAACCAGAUAAAGAUGUAUAUCGUCUAAUUCCAAAGCAUUGAACAAUGUUUUUUGCAGAGAAUUUACAAGAAAAAUCCUACGGGAACUAUCGAAAGACUGGCCACUUUAAAAUAACCAAAUUUGAAAAUACUUCUGAAAAGUUUUUACUUUUGAAAAAUCUUUGUAUGUUUUUCACUUUGACAUGUCACUCAUUAGAAUGAAACUAACUGAAAAUCUUUGUAUUUCUCACUUGGGCAGGUCACCCGGAAGAAUUAGAGCACUUAAAAAUUCUGUGUUUUUUCCAGCUAGAAAGGUUGCCCAUGAAAAUUAGACAAAUCUUUGUAUUUUUCACAGUUAGAUUGGUCACUCAUUACAAUGAGAACAAUGUUGAAAAACUUUCAUUUUCUUCAUGAACAGGUAGGUCACCUAGAAAAAUGAGACCAAUUCUGAAAAAUCUUUGUAUUUUUACUAGUGGACAGGUCACCCAUGAAAAUUAGACCAAUGUUAAAAUCAUUUCAUGUAUUUCACAACGAGUAGGUCAACUAGAAAAUAAAACCAAUAUUGAAAUCACUUUCAUGUAUUUCACAAAUGGAUAAAUCACCUAAAAAAUAAGACCAAUGUUGAAAUCAUUUUAAUGUAUUUCAUUAACAAGUAGGUCACCUAAAAAUAAGACCCUUUUUUAAAUCACUUUCAUAUAUUUUAUAAACUGAUAGGUCACCUGAGAAAUAAAAUCAAUGUUGAAAUCACUUUCAUGUAUUUCACAAACAGGUAGGUCGCCUGGAAUAAUUAAACCAUUUUAAAAAAAUCUUUGAAUUUUUUCACACAACGAGCAAGUCAUCUGGAUCAAUUAGACCAUUUUAAAAAAAAAUUGUAUUUUUUUACCAACGAGCAAGUCGUUUGGAACAAUUAGAUCACUUUCAAAAACAUUUCAAAAAAAUUAACAACAACGGGUAGGUCACCUCUAAUAAUUAGACCAUUUCUGAAAAUAUUUGAGUUUUUCGUUGACAAGGUAGAUCGCUUAUCGCUUCUCAAAUGACCGCUUUCAAAGUUUUUCAAGAUUUGAAAAACAGGAGGGGCUUUCAUGUUUUUUUAUCUUUACAAACUUACUACACAAAGCCAAAAAAAAUAAAUUUUUGAAUGCCUUUGUAUUGUAAGUAUUGUAAAGAUGAAGCAAUUGUACCUAAACUUGACUCUAUUUGCUUUAAUUUUUUUUUAAAAGGAGGUUAAAAUUUAGAAAUUAAAAGAUUUGGUACCAACAUUUAUUUAGGGGUGUGAUUUGUCAACUUGUGAGAAAAUUAAGGGCUAUAUUGUGUUUUGUUUAAACAAACUAUAGAUAAAUCUAUUUUUCAAAUUUAAUUUUUAAAUCUAAAUCAAAUUUAAAUUUAAAAAAGCAUGAGCUUAUAUUUGUUUGGGAAUUUGAGUCUCUUUAUACUUUAUACAUCAACUUUUCGAUGUGUGAAUCCACAAUGAAAGGGUAAUUUUUCCCUUGGUGGGAUAGCAUGGGUUUAGGGGUUAGAAGGUAAUUUCGCAUUUUUAGCUACAAUAUAAUUACUAAACAGCCCAUGGAGAAAAAAAAAUCCUUUAGGUUUAAGGGCUUUUCAGGUUUUAUGUAUUUUUUUGUACUGGUUAAUUACUUAAAUGCCUCUCAAAGAUAAUCUCUAUUAAUAAUAGAGGCAGUGGCACUUUUGGUUUUUCCUUAAGGUUUUUUUUUUUUUUUUUGUAAUUCUCAUUUUGGGUCUAGGGUGAUUGAGUAAUUUCAUAAAUGUAAAUUAAUAUUUAUUCAGGAGGUGGCUGGCCCGCGCCCUUCGGGUGGCAUGUGCAGCGCACUGACACCUAAUGCAGGACGACAUUAGAUGCGCCGCGCCACCCCCAUCACGUUGGUUCGAUGUGUGUACGGCGAGGAGGCGUGGUGGAGGUGGAGCUCCGGCAAUGAGUUUUUUCCUCGCCCCCAUCUUUCCUCCUAGAAAACCGUGCAAGUCAUUGCAAAAAUACAAGAAAGUAUGUCUAUUUGUUUGUUAAGUUAAAUUAGAUCCUCAUUCUUUUGAUUGCAAUGUAUUUGGUCUUGAAUCAUUUAUUGAGUUGAUUUGUUUUUUCAAUUUCAUUUCUUGAUACUUGAUUUUUAUAUUAAAUUUGAUCAUUAUUCUUUGAAUUACAAAGUGUUUGGUCUUGAAUCAUUUAUUAGGUUAAUUUAUUUUUCAAAUUCAUCCAUUCACAAUUGAUUUUAUAUUGGAUUUUUAUAAAUUAUUUAGGCAUUAGUUUAGAAAAAAACAGAGAGAGCGCAGGGGACAAGGUUUUUAACAAAUGUCUUCCUUGAAAGAACAAUUCUCAUGCUGUUUUUUAAGAUCAAAAUUGAGGAUCACAAUCUUGUUUUUCUAAAGAAGGGUAGUUGAAAUGGUUUCAAGUGGAAUGACCGCCAUGAAAUCAUUCUUUAAAGGUUUCUAAAUCACUUUCUUGCAAUGAAAUAGUCAUGAAUCAUCCGUGUAUAAGUGUGCGAAGUCUGUGAUAGCCAAGCAAACCAUCGAAAGUUUAGAUCGCCUGCCUUCCCUUGAACCAAUGGCCAAACAAAUGCGCUCCCUCCUUUCUUCUUGCUUGCUUUCUGUCACUGUAUCCAUAGUUCUACUCCAUAUACCAUCUCGAGUUCAUUCAGUAACAUUGAAAUCAGAUGUUGAAGCCCUUCAGGCACUGAUGCAGGCCGUCGAUCCCGUCUCGAUUGUGAGGUAUUCCUACCUCCAUAGCUGGGAUUUCGCAUUCGAUCCAUGUGAGGCUGCAGGGUUAUUUCAAGGGAUCGUGUGCACAUUCCCUACGGACAAUUCGGCCAACCGUAUAAUGGCAAUUGAUCUUGAUCCUGCUGGGUAUGAUGGCUUUCUAACAGCAUCGAUCGGGAAUCUGACAGAGCUUACCUCCCUUAGGAUAAGCAAAAACAACUUUCGAGGGCCAAUACCAGAAACCAUAGCCAACCUUCAAAAGCUCACCAGACUAUCAUUGACUCAAAAUCUCUUCACUGGGAGAAUACCUCAAGGAAUCAUUAAUCUCAAGCAUCUUCAAAUCUUAGACCUGUCACAAAACCACCUCUCUAGCAAAAUUCCUGCCGAUAUUACAACUUUGAGAAGCUUGGUGCAGUUAAGCUUGUCAAACAAUGCAUUGUCUGGCAGAAUUCCAGACCUCUCCGCAUUGUGGCAGCUGAGCACAUUGGAUCUUAGUAGCAACAAUCUAGAUGGAAUUGUGCCCAAUCUUCCAAUGAACUUGAGAAAAUUGUCGCUGAGCCAUAAUGUACUAUCAGGACACGUUUCACCUGUGAGCGUCCUCCAACACCUCACAGUACUAGAUUUGAGUGAUAACAGGUUUUCAGGUCUCAUUCGUCAGGAAAUUCUCACUUUGCCUCUGGUGGAACGCCUUAACAUCUCAAAUAAUCAAUUCACGGAAAUGGAGCCAUUGCCAUACCCUAGGGAAGGUUUACAGCUUCGUGUGCUGGACGCACACGCUAACAGGCUGCAUGGUCAUCUGCCCAUCAGCUUGGUUAAUAUAGCGAAUUUAUCAUCAAUUGAUCUAUCCCAUAAUCAUUUCUCUGGACGAAUCCCACUAGAAUAUGGAGCCAAACUGGGGAGUUCAUGGAAAAGCUUGCUCUUAGAAGACAAUUUUCUGAUAGGAAAUCUUCCACCGCAGUUUAUUAACGGGACAGUGGCAGUUAGAGCCAACCUUGCACACAAUUGCUUAAGGUGUCCACCAAACAUUCGGUUUUGCAGAGGAGGGCAAAGGGCAAACUCAGAGUGUGACGGGCAGCAAGAUCACAGCACUUGAGAAGUUACUGUGAAUUCACAACGGAUCAUCAAACAAAUUCCAUGUACUCAAGCUUAUAAUAAAGUCCAGUGAGGCAAGCUUCCACUUCCUAAUCAAGGGUGGGAUGCGAGUUUAAUUUUCAUCCAAAGUAUAGUUCAGUGGUUCCAGCGAAGGAGAAGGUGUCAUAAUCUGUAAUCUUCAUUAAUGCAUUUCCAGUGUUGAACAAAUUUCCAUUUAUCCAUAGGAUAAAUUAAUUAUCUGUAAUGUUGCAACUUACAUUUUAUCAACACAUCAAACAACACAGACUUUCCCAGAUUUCAAUGUGGAUGAAAAGAGCAGUGGAUUCACAUGCUUAUCAGCAAAAACAAUCACCUCGAAAUCAGCUUAUAUACCAAAAAUUUCUGAUAUUUCAUAACUCUACAAAUUCAUGUUUCUACAACAUAACAGAGCAGUUUAGAGAAACCAAUUAACACCAACAUUGCCAAGCCAUGCGAAAAAUGGGAACUGGACUAAAGCGAUGAGGAGCAAGAGAGAAUGGUGUCUGCUAGAAUCAAAGCUCCUCACCUCUGCAAAAAGUACUCUAUUCAUUGUCUUCACCAAGAAAAUUCCCACGCAUAAGCAGGCACAUGGCAUCAAAAUGUAGUAAGAGUAUCCAGAUAAGAUCUUUCCAAGGACAGCAAAACACAUGCCUGUGAAGGUAUACCCAGCAUAUGCAACAAUGUCUAACAAGGGCGCCUCCCCGCUACCCAAUGAAAGGAAUAUCAUUU
RNAcentral lists this long non-coding RNA (11619 nucleotides) under Populus trichocarpa (black cottonwood). RNAcentral's name for it is "long non-coding RNA (PTRI_LNC003761)". The record is from RNAcentral. Lineage: Eukaryota; Viridiplantae; Streptophyta; Magnoliopsida; Malpighiales; Salicaceae.